This 275-nucleotide long non-coding RNA is filed under the name Medicago truncatula (barrel medic). RNAcentral describes it as "long non-coding RNA (MTRU_LNC000066)". The record is from RNAcentral. Lineage: Eukaryota; Viridiplantae; Streptophyta; Magnoliopsida; Fabales; Fabaceae.
AUGAUGUAAUGUAGCAGUAAAUGCUGUGUUAUAUAUGAGUAGAAAAAGAUGUCACUAUUUUAUAGUUACAAGGUCCUAGUAUAGCAAGACCUAAAAAUCAAGACAUUGGUUCUUGUGGUAGAGAGAGAGAGAGAGAGAGAGAGAGAGAGAGAGAGAGAGAGAGAGAGAGAGAGUUCAGUUACAUGAAUGACUUUAAGUUUUUGAAGCAUCACUCACAGCUAUCUGUCACCUUAAUGUAAACUUUCAGAAUGAAACCAACCUAAGUUAUAGAUUCA